GAGUGAAUAGAGUGUCUUAGUGGCGGACGGGUGAGUAACGCGUGAGUAACCUGCCAUACAGUGGGGGAAUAACGACACCGAAAGGUGUGCUAAUACCGCAUGAUGUAUCGAGAUCGCAUGGUCUUGAUACCAAAGAUUUAUCGCUGUAUGAUGGGCUCGCGUCUGAUUAGGAUAGUUGGUGAGGUAACGGCUCACCAAGUCGACGAUCAGUAGCCGGACUGAGAGGUUGAACGGCCACAUUGGGACUGAGACACGGCCCAGACUCCUACGGGAGGCAGCAGUGGGGGAUAUUGCACAAUGGGCGCAAGCCUGAUGCAGCGACGCCGCGUGAGGGAAGACGGUCUUCGGAUUGUAAACCUCUGUCAUCGGGGACGAUAAUGACGGUACCCGAUGAGGAAGCUCCGGCUAACUACGUGCCAGCAGCCGC
This 427-nucleotide ribosomal RNA is filed under the name uncultured bacterium. RNAcentral's name for it is "bacterial SSU rRNA". It matches the Rfam family "Bacterial small subunit ribosomal RNA", at positions 77 to 518 of the family's 1533-position model. The record is from RNAcentral.